Molecule: unclassified non-coding RNA, 334 nt
Organism: Macaca nemestrina (pig-tailed macaque)
Lineage: Eukaryota; Metazoa; Chordata; Mammalia; Primates; Cercopithecidae
Gene: 7SK
Rfam family: 7SK RNA
About the family: 7SK was discovered as an abundant small nuclear RNA in the mid-70s but a possible function has only recently been suggested.
Source: Ensembl
GGAUGUGAGGGCGAUAUGGCUGCAACAUGUGUCACCCCAUUGAUUGCCAGGGUUGAUUCAUCUGAGCUGGCUGACUAGGCUGGUGUCCCCUUCCUACCUCACCGCUCCAUGUGCCUCCCUCCUGAAGCUGCACACUUGGUCGAAGAGGACCACUAUUCCUAACAGAGGAAGACUGGUGUUCAGUCAAGCACAUACAAAUAGCUGCACUCCCCUGCUAGAACUUUCAAACAAGCUCUCAAAAAAUUGGCAGGGGGCUCAGCCUCAUGACUGGGUUCCAGGGCUAGGGAGAAACCAAAGCAGCAGGGCCAGGCUCUGGAGUUGGUCAGCUCUCCCU